AAUGAACGCUGGCGGCGCGCCUAAUACAUGCAAGUCGAGCGAGAAGACGUAGCAAUACGUUUGUAAAGCGGCGAACGGGUGAGGAAUACAUGGGUAACCUACCCUAGAGUGGGGAAUAACUAGCCGAAAGGUUAGCUAAUACCGCGUACGCUCCUUGGACUUCGGUUCAGGGAGGAAAGCGAUGCCGAGGGUAUCGCGCUCUUGGAUGGGCUCAUGUCCUAUCAGCUUGUUGGUGAGGUGACGGCUCACCAAGGCUUCGACGGGUAGCUGGUCUGAGAGGACGAUCAGCCACACUGGCACUGCGACACGGGCCAGACUCCUACGGGAGGCAGCAGUAAGGAAUAUUGCGCAAUGGGCGAAAGCCUGACGCAGCGACGCCGCGUGAGGGAUGAC
Molecule: ribosomal RNA, 393 nt
Filed under: uncultured bacterium
Lineage: Bacteria
Description: bacterial SSU rRNA
Rfam family: Bacterial small subunit ribosomal RNA
Source: RNAcentral